This 1270-nucleotide long non-coding RNA is filed under the name Trifolium pratense (red clover). RNAcentral describes it as "long non-coding RNA (TPRA_LNC001640)". The record is from RNAcentral. Lineage: Eukaryota; Viridiplantae; Streptophyta; Magnoliopsida; Fabales; Fabaceae.
AGGAUCAGCAGUCUUCUCCUCGACAUUUAUUGAGGUUUCAACAGAGGACUUCAGCCUUUCCUUUAAAUCUAAGAACUCCUCAUUGAGCUUCUUCACCUUCUUGAGCAGGACAUCCGCCUUCUUAGUCAGCUCAUUGAUAGCCAUCAAAUCAGAUUCCGAAACCAUCAAACGGCUUUGCACGCUGGCCAUUGGCUCUACAAUAAUUAUGGAUAGAAAUAUAAAAGUGCAAUAGAAAUUAACAGAUGUAUAUUAUUAAUGGGAACGGUUGUUUUAGUUGGAUGAUCAAGAUUAUAAGCAUUGUUAAAAAGAAAAGGGUAUUGGCGCAAAUAAGUUCCCCAUUUGCCAUAUUAAAAUGGACAAUUAAGUCAAACUUUUUUGUUCUGUUCAUCUCAUCUUGUGAUUUUAUUAAAAAAAAAACUUAUGUUUAACCUUAAAUUUAGAAAAUGAAUUUCAUUGAACUAAAUUUCUUAAUCAUUGCAAAAAUAAUGUUUUUUCUUAUAAUAAUGACACGAGAAAGUAUAGAUUAAAGGAGUUUGUCUUAUAUGGACCCGAUGCAAGGGUGGAUCCUCAUAUUUAUAGUAAGUUUUUAAUAAAAUAUUGUUUUUAAUCUCUAUAAAGUCAUUGUUUUUUUACCAUAAUGGUAAAAGGCCACCUUUUGAACCAUUUUUUAAUAGGUCCAAAUUAAACACACCCAUACAUUAUGUACUGUUAACCUAAAUAAAUAAUUUUAUACAUGCAUGACAUUUUAUUUGCAAAUGCUAAUAUAGUAUAUAUGUGCCUUAAGGGUACAUAAUAUAGUAAUAUAUAGAUAUAUAGAUAUCUCCAAGUGAUACAUUCAAAAGUAAAAACAAAAUGUCAUAACAGUAAAAUGUAUAUUCAUAUGACUUGCAAAUGUAAAUUAUAGACUAGUAUGACUCACUAGUAUUAGAAGGCUCGGGUACAUGAUUUGCAUCUAAAACUUGAGUUGACAGAAUAACAAAAAGAAUAACACCAAGAAACAUAAAUGACCUUGAGUAAGCCAUGUUACUUCAAUUCUUUCUAUUUCUAAAUUACAAUGCAAUGUGGUUGAGAAAUAAUAAUAAUGUAAUAUUCUCUAUAUAUAGGACAAGAAGAUUACUUUUUAUGAGGCCAACAGUCAAGGAGAUAUAUUGUAAAUAUUCUCUAUAUAUAAAUUAUGGAGAAACAUGCAUGUGGCCAAAGAAAGUACCAAGGAGAUGUUAAUAUUAAUUUAUAUUGAAUUGAGAAUUAACAUUGAGGUUGCUAAAGUCCU